This 670-nucleotide ribosomal RNA is filed under the name Psychrobacter sp. 27F07n-MB1-10. RNAcentral describes it as "bacterial SSU rRNA". It matches the Rfam family "Bacterial small subunit ribosomal RNA", at positions 773 to 1442 of the family's 1533-position model. The record is from RNAcentral. Lineage: Bacteria; Pseudomonadati; Pseudomonadota; Gammaproteobacteria; Moraxellales; Moraxellaceae.
CAGGAUUAGAUACCCUGGUAGUCCACGCCGUAAACGAUGUCUACUAGUCGUUGGGUCCCUUGAGGACUUAGUGACGCAGCUAACGCAAUAAGUAGACCGCUUGGGGAGUACGGCCGCAAGGUUAAAACUCAAAUGAAUUGACGGGGGCCCGCACAAGCGGUGGAGCAUGUGGUUUAAUUCGAUGCAACGCGAAGAACCUUACCUGGUCUUGACAUAUCUAGAAUCCUGCAGAGAUGCGGGAGUGCCUUCGGGAAUUAGAAUACAGGUGCUGCAUGGCUGUCGUCAGCUCGUGUCGUGAGAUGUUGGGUUAAGUCCCGCAACGAGCGCAACCCUUGUCCUUAGUUACCAGCGGGUUAAGCCGGGAACUCUAAGGAUACUGCCAGUGACAAACUGGAGGAAGUCGGGGACGACGUCAAGUCAUCAUGGCCCUUACGACCAGGGCUACACACGUGCUACAAUGGUAGGUACAGAGGGCAGCUACACAGCGAUGUGAUGCGAAUCUCAAAAAGCCUAUCGUAGUCCAGAUUGGAGUCUGCAACUCGACUCCAUGAAGUAGGAAUCGCUAGUAAUCGCGGAUCAGAAUGCCGCGGUGAAUACGUUCCCGGGCCUUGUACACACCGCCCGUCACACCAUGGGAGUUGAUUGCACCAGAAGUGGAUAGCUUAACCUU